GACGAACGCUGGCGGCGUGCUUAACACAUGCAAGUCGAACGGACAGGCCCUGCUUUUGUGGGGUGCUCGAGUGGCGAACGGGUGAGUAACACGUGAGUAACCUGCCCUUGACUUUGGGAUAACUUCAGGAAACUGGGGCUAAUACCGGAUAGGAGCUCCUGCCGCAUGGUGGGGGUUGGAAAGUUUCGGCGGUUGGGGAUGGACUCGCGGCUUAUCAGCUUGUUGGUGGGGUAGUGGCUUACCAAGGCUUUGACGGGUAGCCGGCCUGGGAGGGUGACCGGCCACAUUGGGACUGAGAUACGGCCCAGACUCCUACGGGAGGCAGCAGUGGGGAAUAUUGCACAAUGGGCGGAAGCCUGAUGCAGCAACGCCGCGUGCGGGAUGACGGCCUUCGGGUUGUAAACCGCUUUCGCCUGUGACGAAGCGUGAGUGACGGUAAUGGGUAAAGAAGCACCGGCUAACUACGUG
Molecule: ribosomal RNA, 468 nt
Filed under: uncultured bacterium
Lineage: Bacteria
Description: partial 16S ribosomal RNA
Rfam family: Bacterial small subunit ribosomal RNA
Source: RNAcentral